This 405-nucleotide long non-coding RNA is filed under the name Helianthus annuus (common sunflower). Its description in RNAcentral is "hypothetical non coding rna". Lineage: Eukaryota; Viridiplantae; Streptophyta; Magnoliopsida; Asterales; Asteraceae. The record is from RNAcentral.
GCUGUUUCACUGCUAUUAACGUGCCAUUUGGUAAUACUCCCUUCAUUAUAACACAAAAAAUUAAUUUUCAACAUUGUAAACAACAUUCUUCAAUAUUCCGUGAUCGAGAAAGAAAUUGUAGAGUACCUUGUAAACCAAGCCAAAACCACCUUCUCCAAUCUUAUUAGCAACAUCAAAAUUGUUUGUUGCAAUUUUGAUUUGCUUCAAAGUAAAGGAACCAGUGUUAAGCUCUAGACCAUUCAGGUCUACACCAUGCAGAUCUUUCAUCUCUGCAACGUAAACAACCCCGCCACCAUAAAAGUCCUAAAAUUAGGAUGAUGGCACAAAAAGCUCCAAUCACAAUCCCAGCCACAAUUCCUCCGGACACACCGUUUCCAUUUUCCUGCGAUUCACUUUGUGGAACCU